CUUGAUCGGAUCUAUAAUAUAAUAUAACUGGGAUUCUUUUAAGGAAGCUCAUCUCUAUCUCUUCUAACUCAUUCUCCGAUCAGAGGAUUCGAAAGUUGACACCUUUACGCUUUCUUCUUCCUCUGUUUCAUGGAAUCUGAUCCCUCAAUUCGUCUCUGUUUCUGCUGAGUGUGUGUGUGAGAGAGAUGGCGAGAGGUAGAUCGAUAACUAGUUCUGGGAUAUGGAGAUAUUUGAAUCCAGCGUAUUACCUCAGAAGGCCAAAGCGUCUGGCUUUGCUCUUCUUCGUGUUCGUCUCUGUUUCCAUGGUGGUCUGGGAUCGUAUGAAUCUCGCCAGAGAACAUGAGGUAUGUCUUGUCUCUUCGUAGAAUCUAGUCAGAGCUCUGUCUUAGAGACAUUCAUAAGCAUAAAGUAGCUAAUGUUAAAAGUAAUGAUACUUUUUGUUUCAAGGAAGUGAAUGACUCUUCUUGUGAUCAUCCUUCUGAUGGGUUUAACGAAGUUUCUGUCUUGUUUCAGGUUGAAGUUUAUAAGUUAAAUGAAGAAGUUUCACGGUUGGAGCAGAUGGUAAGAUAGAUGUUUCCCCUCUCAUCCUAUUGCCUUCAGUGCUUUCUUUAGCUAACUAAGUAAUAUAUUGUGCUAGUUAGAAGAGCUUAAAGGUGUUGGCAAUGGUAAAACUUUGAUGACUCAGAAGGAUGUUCCACAAAAUCCAGUUGAUAUGGAGCGAAGGCAGAAAGUAAAAGAGGCAAUGAUCCAUGCUUGGAGCUCAUAUGAGAAGUAUGCUUGGGGAAAAGAUGAGCUUCAGGUAUUAAAUUUACUAUAAUCCAAAUGUUGUUCAUUACAUAAUCUAGUGACAAUGGGGGCUCUACAAAUCUGAAGUUGUUCUUUAUUUAUUUCAUUCUUUAUUGUCAGCCUCGGACAAAAGAUGGCACUGAUAGCUUUGGUGGCCUCGGAGCAACUAUGAUAGAUUCUUUAGAUACACUCUAUAUAAUGGGUCUACAUGAGCAGUUUCAAAAAGCCAGAGAGUGAGUAUCUAGCUGCAGGCUCUUCAUGAUAAUUAUCUUUGCCAAUCUUUAUUUGCUCAUUGUCUUUUAUUUGCAGGUGGGUUGCAACCUCAUUGGAUUUCGACAAGGACUAUGACGCCAGUAUGUUUGAGACAACCAUAAGGUUGCUUUAACAGGUUUACUUUGGUUGUUAUCUGUAUCUGUCAUAGGAAGAGUCAGAACCAUUUGUGAUUUUAUUAGCUAGUUCUUGGUUGAUAUAAGAUGUGGGGUGUUGAUUUGUUGCAUCUUCUUAUGUUCUUUCUCUUUAUUUUCUUCCAGAGUUGUAGGGGGACUUCUCAGUACGUAUGAUCUUUCAGGGGACAAACUUUUCCUCGACAAGGCUAAGGAUAUCGCAGACAGAUUAUUACCUGCAUGGAACACUCCAACGGGCAUACCUUACAAUAUCAUCAACUUGAGGAGUGGAAGUGCUCACAACCCUUCGUGGGCGGCUGGGGUGAGUCCUAGAUCCUUUUAAAUCCUAUAGCACAGUUUGCAUUUCUUAUCUUGUAUGGUGAUGGUUGUAGAUUUGAUUGUCACUAUAGUUUCUUAUACUUUAUUUCUUAUCUGUGUCACCAAGUGUCACUAGAUUUAGAUAUGUAUCAUUGAGUGAGUACAUUUGGUCUGUCAGUUCUAGCUAAUUGUUACAAGUAUUGUAUGUACUAGGGAGCCAGUAUCCUUGCAGAUUCUGGCACUGAGCAGCUUGAGUUUAUUGCCCUUUCCCAGAGGACAGGGGACCCAAAAUAUCAGCAGAAGGUACAUGUCUCUGUAACUUUCAUGUGCGGUUUAUAGAUAAGCUAAUGGGAGAUUGUGCAAUACAUAUUUGUUAUAUCCUAACUAGGUGUUAAAGAGGAGAAAACAUUUGCUUUGGUUUAUUGAUUCGUUUGUUAACAUGCGUCUCUCAGGUAGAGAAGGUUAUAACGGAACUGAAUAAGAACUUCCCUGCGGAUGGUUUACUCCCUAUCUAUAUAAAUCCUGAUAAUGGCAAUCCAUCUUACUCCACCACAACAUUUGGUGCCAUGGGAGACAGGUAAUUUCCUCAACCAGAUGUGGCUUGGGUUCUCUGACCUUGACUUUGCACUAUAGCAGUUGCUAAUAUUUUGGUUUUUCUUUUGUAGCUUUUACGAGUAUCUGCUAAAGGUUUGGGUGCAAGGGAACAAAACGUCAGAAGUGAAGCUCUAUAGGUAAGUAAAGCUGUAUGCUGUAUUUCAGUAUUAGCAAAAAUGAAAAAGACUUAGUUUUUUUUUCGUGGCAAUGAAUCAGAGAAAUGUGGGAGAAAUCAAUGAAAGGUUUAUUAAGCUUGAUCAACAAAUCAACACCUUCAUCAUUUACAUAUAUACGUGAGAAAAAUGGGAAUAAUUUUAUCGAUAAGGUAAAAGUCAUCAUCUAAUGUCAACGCUUCGAGUUUGAGUGUUUUGCAGGUUUGACAUUGUUUCUCUCUUGUUAUAUUCAGAUGGAUGAAUUGGCAUGCUUUGCUCCUGGGAUGUUGGCUUUAGGAGCAUCAGGUUAUGGUCCUGAUGAAGAAAAAAAGUUUCUUACACUUGCUGAAGAGGUACAUUAGAAUCUCUUUAGAGCUUUUAGUGAAGUUUUUGCUGUCUGCUUAUUGCUCUCUCUCCCCUCCAUUUUACUGCAGCUUGCCUGGACUUGUUAUAACUUUUACCAAUCAACACCAACGAAACUCGCUGGAGAGAAUUAUUUCUUCAAUGCAGGACAGGUAGGUUGGUAAAUAACAGGUUUAUUUUGCUUGCUUGGCUUGGUUAAACCCACAUAACGCAUGAUCGUUUCAGGACAUGAGUGUUGGAACAUCUUGGAACAUUCUAAGACCAGAAACUGUUGAAUCACUCUUCUACCUCUGGCGGUUAACUGGUAACAAGACAUAUCAAGAGUGGGGAUGGAAUAUAUUCCAAGCAUUUGAGAAGAAUUCUCGUAUAGAAUCUGGAUAUGUAGGCUUGAAGGAUGUAAGUUUCUUCUUAUCCAAAAACCCAUUUCCAUAUUUCAAAAAAACCUUUACAUCAUCAACGUUUCUUUCUUCAUUUUUCAGGUCAAUACAGGUGCUAAAGACAACAAGAUGCAAAGCUUCUUCUUAGCUGAGACUCUCAAGUAUCUUUACCUUCUCUUUUCGCCUCCAUCGGUUAUUUCAUUAGAUGAGUGGGUUUUCAACACAGAAGCUCAUCCGCUUAAGAUAGUGGCACGGAAUGAGCAGCGUAAGCCAACUAUAACACUACGACAGAGGCGGUUUGGUGGGAUUAUUAAGGGUUAAUAGACAGUUUACAGCUCAAAUGUAAUUUGAUAUUAUAUAAUACAACAGAGUUUGAGGCACAUUGUUGUAUUAGUUUGGAUAAUAGAUAAAGAACAAGAGAUGGAGAACCUUUUUGUAACAGCAAUUAGUUAAAGUACUCACUGUUUUCUUCUUCUAAUUUUAAAAGAGAGCAAUCAACUUUGACCACAAAGAAUGAAAGCAUGAAGAAGGCUUUGAGCGAAAUGAGCUUGGUCUGAUGUACCUGAGACCACCACUAGUCCCUCUGUAGUCCCUGCCUUUGGAUCAUGCACAACCACGUUUGCACCUGUCACCUGUUUGUAUCCGUUUACAAAGUAAUAUAGAUUGAUUCCUUUCAAAACAAUCGUCCUUCUAUGAAUGCACACAUUUUCUGGAUGAGUUAAAACGUACCUGCUUGAUGUAGUUCAGGUUACUGCAGUUCUCACCAUAUACAUGGCCUAGGUAUGCUUGAGGAACCACAAUCUCCACAUUUGCGCUUGUCAUUGGCAGAUUCUCCCCGCCAAUGGGCUCAUUCCUCAAAGCAAACCCGUGAUUCACAUCAGGAACCAUACCACCGGGAUGGCCAUCGAUAGGUGGCUGGUAAUUAAGAAAUAUUAACUAGCCAUUUGCGCUGUAACCAAGCUAUCAUACACAGAUUGAUUUCACAUACCUGUGGAGUCCAAGACAUUGGGGAAGGUGGUCUGUCAAAUCCAGGACCAUGACAAUGCCUCUCUGUGUAAUCAUACACAUUAUAAAGAGCUGAGAUAGAUGCAUGUAUCAACUGUUGAUCAGGAGUUGGGAUCUGAUGAAAAUACCAUGGUAUGGUCCUACAGGAGAAUGGUAACGAUCUGGAGAAGCUGGAUAUGGCCUCGGUCCAAAAGGAGGAGGCGGUUCUGGAUACGGACCCAUAGUUGUCAGAGAAGAGAAACUUUCCUUGUUACUUGAGAAAUCUGUUCAUUAUAAACCAUUAGAGAUGAAGAUAUGGGUGACCAAUACCAAGGCUGAUGAUGAGGCCAAAGACUUGUCGUGGAGCGUGUUCUUAGUAGUGGAUUUCACUUAAGUUACACAAGGUAUGACGAGGGUAAUGAGUUUCUUGGUGGACGAGGAGAAUAAAAGGGUCAUGUGUUGGAAAAAAGGUUUUGGUGACCUUACUACUUUCAUUAUUGUGGUAAAGUUCAGACCCGUCCUGGUAGUUAACAUGGUUCACUUCACAUUGGGACAACGCUUACACUAUUUUGGUGAGCUCUUAAAUAAAGUUAGUUGUCUUUUAACAGACUGCAAAAUUACAUCAGGCUAUCAUAGUAUAGUACCAAUUCAACAACAGUUUUACUAAGAAGCAUUUUAGAAUCAGAAAAAGAGAUAACCAAACAUCGCAGAGCAUUAUAACCUAUAUUAUUACAUUGUCACUGAUCAAAUCCGGUUAAACCUAAACCGAAUCAGAUUCUCUUAAAGGAAAUGAUAAAGCUACAUAGCACACGAGAGAUAAUCAAGCCUCUGUUUGAGAUCUUUCUCUUGCGUGUAAUGGCAAAGAGCCAAAGUGUUUUCCUCACUGUGAGUUGCUUAUGUCAUUGGCUACUGUUCCCAUCAUUUGAUCAGCCUCAAGAUUUGCCUCCUCCUGCAUGUUGCUUACUUCAUUAUUUACUUGAAGAUUUUGGGAUGUUUGAGGAGCUCCUCUGGAUAAGUCUCUAAGAGCACCCUAAACAUUAUAAGUCUUGUCAUUACACAGAAACAUCAAUGAAUCAAAAGAGCUAUAAAAUGAGUAAGACAGAGAGAGAGUUGAUCAGUUAAGCAUCAAGUGUUAGCUUGCCUUGUUUGCCCACAUAAGUCCACAUGCGUUGCAAAGUGUUCUUGGCCCUUCAGGUCCACGCCUCAUCAUUGGAGUUGACUUCUCCCCGAUUCCACAGUGCCGACAUCUUUACAGGUUCCAAAGAAAGAAAAGUCAGAUAUGCAAAGAAACAAAUACUAGUUCAUCACAACAUCUCUACACUAAGUGAGUUCAGGUUAAGUCCAAGUUAAAAAGCAUUGAUCAACUUACGAGAUUUCUUGAUUAUGAUGAGCCUCGCUACCUUCUAUAGCCCACGUUUGACUGGACUCCCAGCUAGAUCCAUCAGCUGCAGCUUCACCAUUGUUGGACUUGGCAGAUGUGAACUGACCUUUAUUGCGUUGCAUCCUGCAUAUACCGAAAGCAAUCAAGGUGCAAAUUCUAAAAAUGUAUAAGUGGACCAAGUUGUUGAAUGUACCUCAAAGCUACCUCCUUGCGAACUGUAUACCGAAUCUUCUUAUCAAAGUUCCUCUCUUUCCGUUUCUCUCGGAAUCUGACCAAAGAAGCUAACCGCUGUGGCAUACUAAACCUUUGAGGAGUUCCAGGUAGACCCUGUCCCAUUGAUUAAUCAGCAACCGCACUGAUGCAUACUAUGGUUAAAAUGUUCUAACUGAAAGGGAGCUCGACGUCAAACUCUUUCUAGUAUACUACAAUAGGGACAGGUUCAAUCACAAAGGCAAAAUCUAACCAAUACCCUAUUGUUCUGAUGAGAUGCUCCUAAGCCUGUAGGGGGUGCCUGAGGUACUUCUCUUCCACCCAAUAACAGAAGCACAGCUUGAACCUGCAGCAGAUGUUGAAACAGAUUAAAAAAAUGCAAGGAGAGAAUCAAAGAACCAACUCAGCGGCAACUUAAACCACCUUUUCAGGCAAGACGCUGUCAAAAACGUAGACUUGGCCUUGAAAGGACAACGUCAACUGGUCUCCUUGUUCGCUACCACGGUCGACCACUUCACCACGGUUGUCAGUUAUGUUUCCAGGGUGGGAAGGAACGUCGGUAUCAACCCCAUCACUCAUCCCACCACCACCACCAGUAUCAGCAUGGUCAUCGACCAUGCCGCUUCCGUUGUGGAUGUGUUGCAAAGCAUGGUGUCCGUAGUGGACAUGAUGCAAUGGAUCUUGAGUUUCUCCAAUGUGCAUCCGACCAUUGCUUCCAUGAAGUUCAUCAUCAUCCAUGGUUGCUUCUCAUCAAUUUACCUGACUGUUAACAAACUUACAUAAUUAAAACUAGAAGUUCCAUAAGUAUAAGGUUACAGAAAACAGAAAGGGGGUUUAGAGCAGAGAAUCUUCUCAAGUGAUAACAUCCUAAAAACCUUAACUUUGAACCUAAACCUAAACUUGGAUCAAUCAGAUCCGACCAAAGACUCUACCUUUGCACGUUUUAAGCCUUACACAGACCAUUUCAAACGAGAACCCACUUGAGAUCAAUAGUUUGGAUGAGGUACCUAUUCGUGGAAUCAACACCAAGACAGAACAGGAGACUGAAUAUGUCGGACGACCCAACAAGCGCGACGAGCAACGGUGAAAGAUGGCAACUUGGGGAGGUUGGAAGCGAUGAACAACGCUUGAGAAAGGAGAACAGAGACGAAGAACCGGAACACCUGCGAUUAGAGAAAGAAAGAGCGGUGAACUAAACCAAUGGGGUAACAAAGAGAUUCAGUUUAUUAAUUUAUCAGGAUAACAAUAAAUAAAGAAAGCUAACGGAUCAAUAAAUAAAUAACUUUUACUAAUUAUUUUUAAUAAUUAAAUAAGAGAAAAAUAUUAUCUUUAAAAUUUAGAAUAAGAGAAAUUCCAUAAGACUAUUUUUUUUUAGUUUUUGUACCAAAAUAGCUAUCAAUAAAGAAAAUGAACAAAAUAAAUUUUAUUAAAUAAUAAAAAUGAAUUAAAAGAUGAGGGUUUUGGGAUAAAGUUUCAGAUUUUGAAAAAUAAAUAUAAUUUUAAAAAAAAAAAAACUAUUUUGCUUAUUUUUUUAGUGAUAUUUUUGUGACAAAAACUUAAAAAUAACUAUUUAUAAGAAUUGUCCAUACAGAAAUAUAUUUUAAUUAAUCUGAUUUCUAAUCAUAUAAGCUAUAAAUAUAAAUUAUAUUUAACCCAGAAAAAUUAAAAGUAUAUAUGAUUUUACUGUGAUAAGUGUAAUUAUUUUUUAUAAAUCAAAAACCCAAAAAAAUUGAACUUAAACCCGAACAAAAACCCAAAUUGAACACCUCUAAAAUAAACCAAGAGAGACAAAGAGACUCAAUUUAAUAAAAAAAGAAAGCUAAGGGACCAAUAAAUAAAUAAUUUAUUAUUUUCUCUCUGAUGUUUGUUGUUUUCUUCUUUUAUUCUUUCUUCGUCUUCGUCAACCUUGAUCGGAUCUAUAAUAUAAUAUAACUGGGAUUCUUUUAAGGAAGCUCAUCUCUAUCUCUUCUAACUCAUUCUCCGAUCAGAGGAUUCGAAAGUUGACACCUUUACGCUUUCUUCUUCCUCUGUUUCAUGGAAUCUGAUCCCUCAAUUCGUCUCUGUUUCUGCUGAGUGUGUGUGUGAGAGAGAUGGCGAGAGGUAGAUCGAUAACUAGUUCUGGGAUAUGGAGAUAUUUGAAUCCAGCGUAUUACCUCAGAAGGCCAAAGCGUCUGGCUUUGCUCUUCUUCGUGUUCGUCUCUGUUUCCAUGGUGGUCUGGGAUCGUAUGAAUCUCGCCAGAGAACAUGAGG
RNAcentral lists this long non-coding RNA (7798 nucleotides) under Brassica napus (rape). Its description in RNAcentral is "long non-coding RNA (BNAP_LNC006533)". Lineage: Eukaryota; Viridiplantae; Streptophyta; Magnoliopsida; Brassicales; Brassicaceae. The record is from RNAcentral.